GUGUGUGAUCAUACCAGCGUUUAUGCAUCGGAUCCCAUCAGAACUCCGCAGUUAAGCGAAUUUGGGCCAGAGUAGUACCGGGAUGGGUGACCUCCCGAGAAGUCCUAGUGUUGCACCCU
Molecule: non-coding RNA, 119 nt
Organism: Picea glauca (white spruce)
Lineage: Eukaryota; Viridiplantae; Streptophyta; Pinopsida; Pinales; Pinaceae
Source: Rfam